GAUGAACGCUGGCGGCGUGCCUAAUACAUGCAAGUCGAGCGAACAGAUGAGGAGCUUGCUCCUCUGACGUUAGCGGCGGACGGGUGAGUAACACGUGGAUAAUCUACCUAUAAGACUGGGAUAACUUCGGGAAACCGGAGCUAAUACCGGAUAAUAUAUUGAACCGCAUGGUUCAAUAGUGAAAGACGGUUUUGCUGUCACUUAUAGAUGGAUCCGCGCCGCAUUAGCUAGUUGGUAAGGUAACGGCUUACCAAGGCAACGAUGCGUAGCCGACCUGAGAGGGUGAUCGGCCAAACUGGAACUGAGACACGGUCCAGACUCCUACGGGAGGCAGCAGUAGGGAAUCUUCCGCAAUGGGCGAAAGCCUGACGGAGCAACGCCGCGUGAGUGAUGAAGGUCUUCGGAUCGUAAAACUCUGUUAUUAGGGAAGAACAAAUGUGUAAGUAACUAUGCACGUCUUGACGGUACCUAAUCAGAAAGCCACGGCUAACUACGUG
This 497-nucleotide ribosomal RNA is filed under the name uncultured bacterium. Its description in RNAcentral is "partial 16S ribosomal RNA". It matches the Rfam family "Bacterial small subunit ribosomal RNA", at positions 28 to 507 of the family's 1533-position model. The record is from RNAcentral.